AUUAGGAGAUUGAUGGAGGAUGGGAAGCCACUGAGGCAUUCCCCCAGCAUGCAGAGUGCUGCUGAGAGCCAUGCUGGCUGCUUCCAUGCCAGGCAAGUGGGAGCUAGAGGUGGCUGUGGUCAUGGAUGGAGUCCCUGUGUCGGCAGAACAGAGGAAUCCACAGGGUCUCGUGCAGCCCAGAGCAGUCUCCAGCUCGCUACAUAGGCCAGGAUGAACUUGAAAUACUAAUCCCCUUGCCUCAAUCUCAGAGCUGAUCUGGGAGCAAGCGUCUCUAUGUGCUGAGCCAUCACACUGGCCCAACAAGCUUCCUCUCCUCAUCUCCAAAUACACAGAUGUAUCUCUCCCCGGCAAAACUGUCAAUCACAGCUUAGAUGCCCUCAGCCGUCACGCCUCGGCCUCACAAGUGCUAGGA
Mastomys coucha (southern multimammate mouse) is the source of this 412-nucleotide long non-coding RNA. RefSeq lists it as uncharacterized. Lineage: Eukaryota; Metazoa; Chordata; Mammalia; Rodentia; Muridae. The record is from RefSeq and is a predicted model, not a curated record. The transcript has 3 exons.